GAGGAAAGUCCGGGCUCCAUAGGGCAGGGUGCCAGGUAACGCCUGGGGGGCGCAAGCCCACGACCAGUGCAACAGAGAGCAAACCGCCGAUGGCCCACGCAAGUGGGAUCAGGUAAGGGUGAAAGGGUGCGGUAAGAGCGCACCGCGCGUCUGGUAACAGUUCGCGGCACGGUAAACUCCACCCGGAGCAAGGCCAAAUAGGGGUUCAUAAGGUACGGCCCGUACUGAACCCGGGUAGGCUGCUUGAGCCAGUGAGCGAUUGCUGGCCUAGAUGAAUGACUGUCCACGACAGAACCCGGCUUA
Molecule: RNase P RNA, 303 nt
Filed under: Klebsiella sp. AS10
Lineage: Bacteria; Pseudomonadati; Pseudomonadota; Gammaproteobacteria; Enterobacterales; Enterobacteriaceae
Also listed under: 1 other name
Description: Bacterial RNase P class A
Rfam family: Bacterial RNase P class A
About the family: Ribonuclease P (RNase P) is a ubiquitous endoribonuclease, found in archaea, bacteria and eukarya as well as chloroplasts and mitochondria. Its best characterised activity is the generation of mature 5'-ends of tRNAs by cleaving the 5'-leader elements of precursor-tRNAs. Cellular RNase Ps are ribonucleoproteins.
Source: RNAcentral